ACCCGCUGAAUUUAAGCAUAUCAAUAAGCGGAGGAAAAGAAACCAACAGGGAUUGCCUCAGUAACGGCGAGUGAAGCGGCAACAGCUCAAAUUUGAAAUCUGGCCUCACGGUCCGAGUUGUAAUUUGUAGAGGAUGCUUUUGGCGAGGUGCUUUCCGAGUUCCCUGGAACGGGACGCCAUAGAGGGUGAGAGCCCCGUACGGUAAGACCACCGAGCCUCUGUAAAGCUCCUUCGACGAGUCGAGUAGUUUGGGAAUGCUGCUCUAAAUGGGAGGUGUACGUCUUCUAAAGCUAAAUACCGGCCAGAGACCGAUAGCGCACAAGUAGAGUGAUCGAAAGAUGAAAAGCACUUUGAAAAGAGGGUUAAAAAGUACGUGAAAUUGUUGAAAGGGAAGCAUUCAUGACCAGACUUGGGCUUGGUUGAACAUCCGGCGUUCUCGCCGGUGCACUCUGCCAGUCCAGGCCAGCAUCAGUUUGCCCCGGGGGAUAAAGGCGGCGGGAAUGUGGCUCCCUUCGGGGAGUGUUAUAGCCCGUCGUGUAAUGCCCUGGGGCGGACUGAGGAACGCGCUUCGGCACGGAUGCUGGCGUAAUGGUCAUCAAUGACCCGUCUUGAAACACGGACCAAGG
Molecule: ribosomal RNA, 626 nt
Filed under: Hantzschia sigma
Lineage: Eukaryota; Bacillariophyta; Bacillariophyceae; Bacillariales; Bacillariaceae
Description: eukaryotic LSU rRNA
Rfam family: Eukaryotic large subunit ribosomal RNA
Source: RNAcentral